AUUGAACGCUGGCGGCAUGCCUUACACAUGCAAGUCGAACGGCAGCACGGGUGCUUGCACCUGGUGGCGAGUGGCGAACGGGUGAGUAAUACAUCGGAACAUGUCCUGUAGUGGGGGAUAGCCCGGCGAAAGCCGGAUUAAUACCGCAUACGAUCUACGGAUGAAAGCGGGGGACCUUCGGGCCUCGCGCUAUAGGGUUGGCCGAUGGGGGAUUAGCUAGUUGGUGGGGUAAAGGCCUACCAAGGCGACGCUCAGUAGCUGGUCUGAGAGGACGACCAGCCACACUGGGACUGAGACACGGCCCAGAAUCCUACGGGAGGCAGCAGUGGGGAAUGUUGGGCAAUGGGCGAAAGCCUGAUCCAGCAAUGCCGCGUGUGUGAAGAAGGCCUUCGGGUUGUAAAGCACUUUUGUCCGGAAAGAAAUCCUUGGCCCUAAUACGGUCGGGGGAUGACGGUACCGGAAGAAUAAGCACCGGCUAACUACGUG
This 486-nucleotide ribosomal RNA is filed under the name uncultured bacterium. Its description in RNAcentral is "partial 16S ribosomal RNA". It matches the Rfam family "Bacterial small subunit ribosomal RNA", at positions 29 to 507 of the family's 1533-position model. The record is from RNAcentral.